Bos taurus (domestic cattle) is the source of this 965-nucleotide long non-coding RNA. The record is from Ensembl. NCBI's taxonomy places the organism in Eukaryota, Metazoa, Chordata, Mammalia, Artiodactyla, Bovidae.
UUUUCUGAUUGAUCGCUCUCCAGUUCAUCAGAGGAGCGUGCAGACCCUGGGCCUGAGUCCACUCUGGGCUGGCAGGAGCUCUUGCAGCUCCAUCCUCACUCCCUGGAUUAGUAUUAGGAAAUCCACCCCCACCCCACCCCACAUCCUGCUGCAGCCUCUGGGCGCUGGCCUGGCACGGAACCAGGAGGGGCAGGGGGCACCAUGCCGGCUGGGGAGACGGAGACGGUCCAGCCGGAGCCUUGCUCUGGCCCCAGUGCAUCUAAGGAUAUGUUGGGAUUAUAAUCAUAUUGUCAAAAGGAAGGAAAUUGGAAGUCACCCCAGGGAAAAUACUCCAGUCUAUUUGAAUAAUUAGGAGGGUAAAGACUUUUGCGAUCGCCAGUUGUGCGGUUGGUUUGUGAGUCAUUGUGGAGCACUUGGCCGGGCCGGAGACAGCAAGAAGCAAUUAGUCCUCUGAUCGACGCGGUUUGUCAACAUAAAAGGUUUGGGCUGAAGGGCCGCCAGAUGACACCCACUGCUUGGCACGCCCGCGAUGGCCACAGGCCUUCGUUGUUUAUUCCUCCCGCCUGAAAAACGCCCCGGGGGUGAGAGAAGGGGGCGGGCCCGAGCUGGAGGUGGGGCGCAGCUGCCGUCCAUCUGAGCCCCUCCGCCGGCGGAGCAGAGCCCCUCCCCUCGCGUUAGGGGGCAGGGCUGCUGGGGCCACCUGCUUCCCACUGGGCCAGAGGCCAAUUAUCCAGACGGAGGGACAGCCGGGUCCCCAGGGCAGGGACAGCGAGACACGAGAAAGGGAGUUAAGCGGACGCGCGGAUGGUCAGAGUAAAAGGGGAGGCUCCGUGGCCCUUUCUUCAGACAACCUGCUUGCUGUGCAGACCGCCUGGACUCCACCACCUGGAGCUCCUCUUCCAAUGAGGCCGCAGGGCAGUCCCUUCUGUUUGUGACCGACAGCAGGCCGAGCCCAGCCCCCGCCC